This 786-nucleotide ribosomal RNA is filed under the name Triticum aestivum (bread wheat). RNAcentral's name for it is "partial small subunit ribosomal RNA". The record is from RNAcentral. Lineage: Eukaryota; Viridiplantae; Streptophyta; Magnoliopsida; Poales; Poaceae.
AUGGCACACUUGAUGCAAGAAAUAUUUGGAUACACAGAUGAGUUGUGUAGAGCUUUGCAAAAGCAAGACGAAGAUAUUGUUCAUGUUAUUGAGCUUGUUGCUGACACAAAGUAUUACUUGGAGGCUUUGAGGACCGAUGCUGGAUGGGAUGAUUUUCUCACAAAGGUCACAUCUUUUUGUACAAAGCAUAAGAUUAAAGUAGUUGAUAUGGAGGGUCCUUACUUUUCCGUUGGCCGGCCUAGAAGGGGUUUAUUUAAUGGUCCGACCAAUUACCACCGCUUCAAGGUUGAUAUGUUUGUGGGUGUCAUUGAUAGGCAAAUCAAUGAGCUAAAUGGCAGAUUUGAUGAGGUAAACACGGAGCUACUUUCUUGCAUGGCAGCAUUUUGUCGACUUCAUCUAUUUGCUGCCUAUGACCAAGAGAAGUUAGUUUGGCUUGCUACAAAGUUUUAUGCUUCUGAUUUUACAAGGGAUGAACUGGCAAGACUUCCAUGGCAACUAAACAUGUAUGCUACUAAUGUGCGUAGAGAUGAAAGGUUCAAAACCCUGAAAAAUCUGUGUCAACUUUUAGUUAUGCUUGUUGAGACAAACAAGCAUGAACAAUAUCAUAUUGUUUACGAGCUUCUUAAGUUGGUAUUGAUUCUGCCAGUAGCUACUGCUAGUGUUGAAAGGGUAUUCUCUUCAAUGAGCUAUGUGAAGAAUAAGCUAAGGAACAAAAUAGGUGAUGAUUAUUUGAACAAUUGUUUGGUUACAUUCGGUGAGAGAAUUUUUCAAUCAAGUGAAGGAUGA